RNAcentral lists this small nucleolar RNA (138 nucleotides) under Ornithorhynchus anatinus (platypus). The record is from RNAcentral. Lineage: Eukaryota; Metazoa; Chordata; Mammalia; Monotremata; Ornithorhynchidae.
CCCCUCUCAGGGUUGCAUCUGGAGAGUUUCCAGCACUCUACCAGUCUUGGCUACAGGAGGGAGAGUCAAGCAGAGGCCUACCCAUUCCAUUCUUAGCUUGGCCAGUGGCUAGCGUCUGGAAGGCAAUCUGCUGCAAGU